Molecule: long non-coding RNA, 1035 nt
Organism: Formica exsecta
Lineage: Eukaryota; Metazoa; Arthropoda; Insecta; Hymenoptera; Formicidae
Exons: 2
Source: RefSeq, a predicted model, not a curated record
CUCUUACUAGAGUCCCCAGUGCACCAGGUAGCCUAAAAGGACUGGUGUUAACACGAAAUCAAUAUGGUAGUACCGGCGGAUCGCCAACUUUGAGUCGUCGUGACAGCACUUCGCCCAGAGCUUUGCGACGGCCGAUUCAUCCAGGUGGAGGCUCCAUGUGAGUGAUUGUCCUGCAGCAUAUUCUUGUUCUUGUAUUCCUUGCAUAUAUUUGUCUUGAUGCUCUACUCCAUGCACUAUUGAAUAUUUUUAUUUCCUCGAGAUGAAACCUUAUUUUGUUGAUUUUUUGUUUGAGAUUAUAGGAAUCAAGUAUUUUGUGCCUAUAAAUAUAAAAUCCAAUAAUUAUUACAUACAUACACACAGAUACACAUAAAGUAUACACAAAAAAAUAAGUGUGAGCUCCAAAUGAUGUUAAAUGCUGCAGGUUUUGUGAGAGAAAUAAACUAGUUUGAGAUAGAUCGAUCUGUUGUUGUAACAAAAAAAAAAAAAAAAUGAUAAUAAAACAGCAUAAGUGGAAUUAUAUUACAAGGAAAGCAUCUGUUAUAUUGCUUUCCAUUGUAUACCAAAUAUCUUUGAGCUUAUCAAAUGAGAUGUUCAAUAAAUAUUUCUAAGCAUUAUUUAUAUAUUGUAAAAUAAAUAAGAUUUUUUACAUGUGGAUAUAUAUGAUAUAACACACAGCGUGUGUAAAGAUAAAAAAACACUAAAUCUUACUUUUGUACAUCUUGUUUUCAAACGCAAACGGCAUUUUUAAUAUAUUUAUAUAUGUUUAAAAAUAAGUAAGAUGUAUAUAUAUUAUUUUAUAUACAAUUAUAUCUAUAUAUAUUUUGGCAAAAAAUCUGACAACACGAUAUAACAUUUCAUCCAGAUGACUUUUCAUCUUAUAUUAACAUAUUGUUAACGAUUACAACGAGAAAAGAUUAGAUUUAGAAUUAAUUUAUACAAAAUAUUCUUCAAUAUGUAUAUAGAUGUAAGAGUUAUUUUCUCUCUGUAAUAUAAAAUAAAGAAAUAAAUAACGAACGUUGAAAUAAGAAGCUCAAA